GGCGGUGAGACUUGAGUAAGUGCCUGUGGGGGGCCUGAGGCAUGCGCAGCUCUGCCAGGGCUGUUGUGUCGCAGAGCCCGUGUCCUGGGCUGUACCUGUCAGACUCGGCAGUACUUGUGGGGCAGCAGCAAACUGAGGCCAGGAUAGAUGUUCACCUUCCUUGUCCUCAUGCCUCUGGCUCAUACCUGUCUCUUGAAGCCCCCACCCCACUCAAGAAAGACCCACACUGGACCUCUGGGGCUCCCAACACCACUCUCAGCCAGCCUCACCUGGCUGCCUGGCUGCUUUGUCCAAACUGCCUGCCUCUCCGUGAGGGUCGUGUUAGGCAGCGUCCACAAGCUGGGCACUGUGCUGGCCCUCCGGCCAGUCAGAAGGCCUCAGGGUCCUCAGUGAUGCCAGGUCCUGUGCCCACUGAGUCCUGUGCUAGUGGGGGUGGCCUAUGUGGGUCCAGGGAUCGUACAGAUAAAAGGAUAAUUGUGACCCAGGCUGUGAAAGAGGGACAUGAGGUGCUUUGAGUGGUUGGAGAGGCCAGGGGAGGCUUGGCCUCUGGCAAGGGCUGUGAGGGAAGGGUUCAUGGUGCAGGGCAGGGGGAGCGUGCUGGGGGCAGAGAGCAGAGCUGCGUACACAGGGUCGUGCUUGUUACUACAGAAGCAACAGGAAAGCACUGGAGUGUUUUUAAAACCAGAGGUGGGUGGCUGAGGUGUGAGGCGAGCAGAUCUGCAUUUUGAGGCUCCCCUCCUGCAGUGUGGACAGAGAAUUGCAGGCGGGGACGAGGGAGCUGGGGAGGAGAGAGCUGUAGGGUUGGUGGUGGGCUGUGUGUGAGGGGUGGGGGGGCCCGAGGCCGGCUCCUGGGCUCCAGGCUGGAGGAGGCCUGCCACCAAGACUGGGCACUCCGCAGGUUGGAGGUGCCGGGGAGGUCUGGGCGGAGGUGUCAGUUGAGUCCGUGCACUUGGCUCUGGGCAGUGGUCUGAGCGGAAGGGGGAGGCCUGGGUGGCAUCUGUGUUUAUGUGGCACCUGCAGAGGGAUGAGAGUGCCCUGAGUGGGAGAGAAGGAUUGAGAGCAGAGGCAGAGGGAGCCUGAGGAAGGACCAGAACCUGCGAGGAGACGGGGGAGCACCUGGUGGGAGGAAGGAAGCCCUGAGAACUAGGCUAGAGGGCGUCCAGGGAACACGGGAAGGGUCUGAGAAGACGUGGCUGACACAUACCUGUGGAUUUGGGUCGUGAGACCUUCAGGAGCUUGCAGGGUGUCUGCUGCCUGAAGCUACACGUGAAAGAAGGUGGGAGGCGAGGAAGGAGCCUGCAAGGGCUCUUCCAGGAAGCGUGGCUCGGGGGGUGGGGACCAGAGCUGGCUGGGGUGGGGUUGAGGAUGCCACUGAAGAGAAAAUGUGGGGCCUGCAUACAUGGGAGGAUCCUAUUUCCCACUUUCUCUUCUCCCUGCCUUCUUGGAAGCCCCAUUUCCUGGUCUUCAUCCACUUUUCCCCCCUGUUUGGUUUAUUAAACAUUAGGCUCCAGACAUUGGCCUGAGCUCUGGGGGUCGAGAGGUAAAUCAGACGGGGCUACUGUCCCCUUAGAUCCCUAAGGAGCCGUGCUCGAGGGCAAGGCAGUCACAUGGUUCCCUUGCUCGGGCAAAACGAUGGUGACACAGCUUCCCAGGGACAGUGAGGUCAGGGCUACCCUUACUGAGGAGGGGACAGGUGUCCCAGGCAGAGGGACCAGCCUGGACAGAGUCCUGUGUUUGGGCUGUGACCUCCCCCUCCACUGAGAAACCCCCUCUGUGCUGCCUCCACAGCGUGUGUGUGUGUGUGUGUGUGUGUGUGGGGGGGACAGAAUGAGACAGGAUGGGAGCGAGGAGGAAGCUGGAAGGGAAUUGUCAUGGGAGGUGUUUUGAUCACCCAAGCAUAGUAGUUUAUGCUUGUUUUACAAAUUUUGGAGAGCAGUGAAAAAGUAAAGAAGCAAAAAAAAAAAAAAAAAAAGUCACCUGUAACCCUUCCACCCAGGGACAGGGCCUGUCACCAUUUUGACAUCUUUCUCUCUAUGCUUUUUCUAUACGUGUAGGAAUCAUACUCUCAAUGUUAGUUUUUUGUUCCACAUAAUAAACAUUUUCUCUAAUUCAUCAAAAAUUUAAUAAAUGUCAUGGGAAAUAUUUAAUCAUAUAGAUUCACAGUUUUCUCAGUGGAGCUCCUACUCUCA
Long non-coding RNA from Aethalodelphis obliquidens (Pacific white-sided dolphin), 2189 nucleotides. RefSeq lists it as uncharacterized. The transcript is spliced from 2 exons. The record is from RefSeq and is a predicted model, not a curated record. Lineage: Eukaryota; Metazoa; Chordata; Mammalia; Artiodactyla; Delphinidae.